This 71-nucleotide transfer RNA is filed under the name Chitinophagales bacterium. RNAcentral's name for it is "tRNA-Gln". It matches the Rfam family "tRNA". Rfam says of the family: Transfer RNA (tRNA) molecules are approximately 80 nucleotides in length. Their secondary structure includes four short double-helical elements and three loops (D, anti-codon, and T loops). Lineage: Bacteria; Pseudomonadati; Bacteroidota; Chitinophagia; Chitinophagales. The record is from RNAcentral.
UGACCGAUGGUGUAACGGUAGCACAGAGGUUUUUGGUGCCUUUAGUUGAGGUUCGAAUCCUUGUCGGUCAA